GACGAACGCUGGCGGCGUGCUUAACACAUGCAAGUCGAGCGAGAACCGGUGGAGGGGUAACCCUCUGCCGGGGACAGCGGCGAACGGGUGCGUAACACGUGGGCAACCUGCCCCAGACUCAGGGAUAACCCCGGGAAACCGGAGCUAAUACCGGAUACCCUCGCGGAGCCACAUGGCGCUGCGAGGAAAGGUCCGCCGGUCUGGGAUGGGCCCGCGGCCUAUCAGCUUGUUGGCGGGGUAACGGCCCACCAAGGCGACGACGGGUAGCUGGUCUGAGAGGACGGCCAGCCACACUGGAACUGAGAUACGGUUCAGACUCCUACGGGAGGCAGCAGUGGGGAAUAUUGCACAAUGGGCGCAAGCCUGAUGCAGCGACGCCGCGUGGGGAUGAAGGCCCUCGGGUUGUAAACCCCUUUCGGCAGGGACGAAGCGAUCGUGACGGUACCUGCAGAAGAA
Molecule: ribosomal RNA, 456 nt
Filed under: uncultured bacterium
Lineage: Bacteria
Description: bacterial SSU rRNA
Rfam family: Bacterial small subunit ribosomal RNA
Source: RNAcentral